RNAcentral lists this ribosomal RNA (425 nucleotides) under uncultured bacterium. Its description in RNAcentral is "bacterial SSU rRNA". It matches the Rfam family "Bacterial small subunit ribosomal RNA", at positions 355 to 772 of the family's 1533-position model. The record is from RNAcentral.
UGGGGAAUUUUGGACAAUGGGCGCAAGCCUGAUCCAGCCAUGCCGCGUGAGUGAAGAAGGCCUUCGGGUUGUAAAGCUCUUUCGGCGGGGACGAAACGGUCCGUGCUAACACCACGGACUAAUGACGGUACCCGCAGAAGAAGCCCCGGCUAACUACGUGCCAGCAGCCGCGGUAAUACGUAGGGUGCAGGCGUUAAUCGGAAUUACUGGGCGUAAAGCGUGCGCAGGCGGUUUGUUAAGACAGGUGUGAAAUCCCUGGGCUUAACCUGGGAAUUGCGCUUGUAACGGGCAGGCUGGAGUGUGGCAGAGGGGGGUGGAAUUCCAAGUGUAGCAGUGAAAUGCGUAGAUAUUUGGAGGAACACCGAUGGCGAAGGCAGCCCCCUGGGUUAACACUGACGCUCAUGCACGAAAGCGUGGGGAGCAAA